CCAUCCCGCAGAAGUGUCUCUUCAUUUUCGACAGAAUCCCGACUAGUCGGUUAACAGAAAGGAAAAGGAAAAGAGGCAAUAACUAUUGUUUUAAACAACCUUUUUUAUUGCUUAAAAACCUUGAGAAGAGUUUUGAAGUUCUGACCAUUUGAACUAUUUCUAUUAUAUACCUUUUAAGAACAUGGUGACCAAUAGGUGUGACCGAGGUGUCUGAGUGCCCGCUCACCAGCCUGGCAGAAAGUUCUGGUCCCUUGACAAUAAAACCUGCCUCUCUGCGGGGUCUUCAGCCUAACCUCUGCCUCUCUCUUGAAGAUUCUUUGUAAAGGUCAUUCAUGCAGAGACAUCCCUAGAGUUUGUCCUGAAAGGUACAGGGGACACAUUUAUAAAGUUUUUUUAAAAAAACGUAUCUUUCCUUUAUGUGAAGCGUCUCCCUAGUGCCUUACUGAGGAAGCGGUUGACCCCUUCUGUCCCCAGGCAGCAGUGUUCCUGGACAGCGCCCUUACACACCCGGGCCUGCCUUUCUCACUAGUGGGCGACAGAGGUGACUGCUUUAAAAACGCCCCCAUCACCCUCGUGCCGGGCCCCACCCAUCCUCCUUCCUCCCUGGCUGUGCCUCCCUUUGCAGAAAUGCUGCGGAUGGUGUUCCCCUGGGAGCCCGGGACUGGCACCUACUCCUUGGCCUCAGCUGAGACCCUGAGCCCUUGACCCUCUGGGCUGCCUCGCACAAAGCCCUUCACCUCUGUUGGCCUCAGUUUCCCCUUCCGUCACCUGGACUGAGCAGGGUCUCUGAACAGUUUGGGGAGGUCAAUGGCCCCUGUAAGAAUUUUCAGAAGCGAUGGGUCUUUUUUUCCAGAACCAGGUCAGUGGGUGCCCAGCUAUGCUCAUGGCUGUAGAGGUGCCUGAAUUAACCCUUUUAGUCCUCGCCACCACCUCUUGAGGUCACUCCUUUUAUUAGCUCAUUUCAUAGAUGGGAAAACUAAGACAUAAAUAGGUAAAAUAACCUGUCCAAGGUCCCGCAGCCAGUAAAUGGUGGGGCUGAGUUAGAACCUGAGCAUCUCUGUGAUCUUGGACAAGCGGCCUCAUUGACCUGAGCCUCAGUUUCCUGAGAAAAGAGACCCUAACUAGAUCCUAACCUGUAGAUGAGUCAGGGGCACAUGAGGUUGGAAAGUACAUAGUAAGUACUCAUUAAAGAGUCCUCCUUUUUCUUUUUUUAAUUAGAGGAUAAUUGCUUUUUAAUGUUGUGGUCUCUGCUGUACAUCAACACUGUCGUUGGUUUGAUAUG
Molecule: long non-coding RNA, 1282 nt
Filed under: Capra hircus (goat)
Lineage: Eukaryota; Metazoa; Chordata; Mammalia; Artiodactyla; Bovidae
Description: lncRNA (ENSCHIG00010008465.1)
Source: RNAcentral